Meriones unguiculatus (Mongolian gerbil) is the source of this 544-nucleotide long non-coding RNA. RefSeq lists it as uncharacterized. NCBI's taxonomy places the organism in Eukaryota, Metazoa, Chordata, Mammalia, Rodentia, Muridae. The transcript has 2 exons. The record is from RefSeq and is a predicted model, not a curated record.
UUCUACAUGUGUAUCUUUAUUUUAGCCAUCACACUCUUUGCCCCAACUGGACUACAUACUCAGUUCAGAAAAAAUAAAAUAAAUCUAUUAUCAGCAGGGCAAUGUGAAUGAUGAUAGAGACCUGACUACUUGUCCCAGCUCUCACUGGAGGUUGGGAUACAGGAGCUUCAAGCAAGAAGAGAACGUUUCCCCAGGCAAACAAGGAUACUGUGUUCUGAAGAGAAUGGUUGCAUAGACAGAGAUAAAUCCAAAGUGGUGACUUCAAAUCGAGAGUGGAUCUGCUCCUCAGAGGAACCUUGAGAAGGUCUGGAAAUAUUUUUGGUUGUCACAAGUGGGAGUUGUGAUUAACAUCUGGUGAACAGAGGCCAGGGAUGCUGCUAAGCAUGCUCUGAAGUGAAACAAAUGGAUACUGAGGAAGUUUUGUCAAGUAGAUGAUCCUCAGCUAUGGACUAUUAAUGGUCUAAUGAUCUUUGAGCUGUGAGAAAAAAAAUAAUAGGGUUGAAAAUGUUCAUAAAGUUAUAAAGGAUUUAAAAUUAUACUUCAA